This is a long non-coding RNA of Drosophila ananassae, 812 nucleotides long. RefSeq lists it as uncharacterized. Lineage: Eukaryota; Metazoa; Arthropoda; Insecta; Diptera; Drosophilidae. The transcript has 2 exons. The record is from RefSeq and is a predicted model, not a curated record.
ACGCAUUCUAAGAACACAUUCAACCACAUGCGCUGAAGGCUAUAAACUGGGCUAUUUGCUGAACGAGGCCAAAAACAUUUAGGCUUGCGACACUCCAGUGGAAACGGAACUGUGUUUAGUUUUAAGGAAGACUUCACCACGGCCGGAGACCCAAGUCCAUGACCUAAAAAGAAAUAGUUGAUCUCCUGCAACACCACUUUGUAGGCUGUUUGAAUACUUAUUCGUGGAAUAUAUAUACGAACAGCCUAUGUUGAAGUGGGUGAACACAACCCCAAGAAGAGUGCCUCCCCUCUAGGUCACGUGACCUUGACCCCUCUCCGACUGCAGUUCCGUUGUUUUUCAGAAUUAGGCGAAGUUUCCGUUCCUCUGGAAGAUCGCGAACCUGUUUGUUUUUGAUUUCGUUCAGUAUAUACCCCAGUUUAUAGCAGUCAGCGGAUGUGGUCGAGGUCUUAGAAUGUAUUCCAGAGUCCGUGUAUUGGAAAAUUGCUCAACGAACUCCCCUGGGUGGUCAGUUGGUCUGUGAGAUUCUGGAGAGAGCGUGACACGCUGUCACAAUCCGAAUAUAAAUGUCUGAUGGUGGCUUCGAAUAAAGCUCCCGAAUAAGCAAAAUAAUGGGCAACUAGAUGACUGGAUAUGUGCCACUGUUCCGAAUCUCAGGAAAAUCCUUAAUGAGCUGGGACUGAAACUAUGCUCUUUCCAAGCUGAAGCUAGAGCGACGAACAAUAACAAAAUUAAUUGUUAAAUCUGAUUAUAAUAAGUGUAACUUUUUAGUGGAGCCACUUAAAUAUAUUUAAGUAUACUUCCAUCAUUAA